UUUUGGACAAUGGGCGCAAGCCUGAUCCAGCAAUGCCGCGUGAGUGAAGAAGGCCUUCGGGUUGUAAAGCUCUUUUGUCAGGGAAGAAACGGUGAGCUCUAAUACAGUUUGCUAAUGACGGUACCUGAAGAAUAAGCACCGGCUAACUACGUGCCAGCAGCCGCGGUAAUACGUAGGGUGCAAGCGUUAAUCUGAAUUACUGGGCGUAAAGCGUGCGCAGGCGGUUAUGUAAGUCAGAUGUGAAAUCCCCGGGCUCAACCUGGGAAUGGCAUUUGAGACUGCAUGGCUAGAGUGUGUCAGAGGGGGGUAGAAUUCCACGUGUAGCAGUGAAAUGCGUAGAGAUGUGGAGGAAUACCGAUGGCGAAGGCAGCCCCCUGGGAUAACACUGACGCUCAGCACGAA
This 402-nucleotide ribosomal RNA is filed under the name uncultured bacterium. RNAcentral's name for it is "bacterial SSU rRNA". It matches the Rfam family "Bacterial small subunit ribosomal RNA", at positions 362 to 757 of the family's 1533-position model. The record is from RNAcentral.